UUGAACUGAAGAGUUUGAUCCUGGCUCAGAUUGAACGCUGGCGGCAUGCCUUACACAUGCAAGUCGAACGGCAGCACGGGCUUCGGCCUGGUGGCGAGUGGCGAACGGGUGAGUAAUACAUCGGAACAUGUCCUGUAGUGGGGGAUAGCCCGGCGAAAGCCGGAUUAAUACCGCAUACGAUCCACGGAUGAAAGCGGGGGACCUUCGGGCCUCGCGCUAUAGGGUUGGCCGAUGGCUGAUUAGCUAGUUGGUGGGGUAAAGGCCUACCAAGGCGACGAUCAGUAGCUGGUCUGAGAGGACGACCAGCCACACUGGGACUGAGACACGGCCCAGACUCCUACGGGAGGCAGCAGUGGGGAAUUUUGGACAAUGGGCGCAAGCCUGAUCCAGCAAUGCCG
RNAcentral lists this ribosomal RNA (398 nucleotides) under Burkholderia ubonensis. RNAcentral describes it as "bacterial SSU rRNA". It matches the Rfam family "Bacterial small subunit ribosomal RNA", at positions 1 to 399 of the family's 1533-position model. The record is from RNAcentral. Lineage: Bacteria; Pseudomonadati; Pseudomonadota; Betaproteobacteria; Burkholderiales; Burkholderiaceae.